CUUUAUAUUUUUCAAUUAAAUUAAUUAUUUUAUAUAAACAUAUUUUUCCUUCAAAGCUUAAAUCCAACACCCUGGACACUCUUAUACAUACUAAGUUUUGGAUUAGAUUAGAAUUUGUAGUAGAGAAACUUUCUAAUAAUUAAAUUAAAUCAUUAGCCCUUCUAAAUCAUAUCCUAAGAUUUUCUAUUCAAUAAUAAGUUAUUUACAAAAUGAUAAAAAAAAAUUAUUUAAAAUAUCUUGAAAUUUUUAGAUUGGUGAACUCUAAAAUUGUUUUUCUUUUUUUUUUUUUACUGUGUAUCAAGAUUCUGUUUAAGCUAAUAU
Molecule: unclassified non-coding RNA, 321 nt
Filed under: Hevea brasiliensis (rubber tree)
Lineage: Eukaryota; Viridiplantae; Streptophyta; Magnoliopsida; Malpighiales; Euphorbiaceae
Source: RNAcentral